This is a non-coding RNA of Danio rerio (zebrafish), 242 nucleotides long. The record is from RefSeq and is a predicted model, not a curated record. Lineage: Eukaryota; Metazoa; Chordata; Actinopteri; Cypriniformes; Danionidae.
AAACUAAAAAUUUCGCUGUUCUAAACAAUGAGGUUUAUGGAAUAACAAUGGGAGCCAAUAUCUCCAACCUAACCAACAAUAUAGAAAUGACCACUAAGCUGAAGACUUCGGUCGGUAAUGCAUCCUGCACAUCUUGGGAUGGCAAUGGGAAUCUUGAGUGGACAACGUUUGGCUGCGAGACAGAAAUGAUCGACAGUAGCACCAUAAAGUGCUCAUGUUCACAUCUGACAUUCUUUGCAGUG